This is a long non-coding RNA of Neoarius graeffei (lesser salmon catfish), 1469 nucleotides long. RefSeq lists it as uncharacterized. The transcript is spliced from 2 exons. The record is from RefSeq and is a predicted model, not a curated record. Lineage: Eukaryota; Metazoa; Chordata; Actinopteri; Siluriformes; Ariidae.
ACGGUUAUUGCACAAAACCGACUAAACCGCUCCAUUGGGAGACUGAGCCUCACUGGAGAUGGGAGUCAAUAAGAGGGGCGGGACAAGACUUCCCGAGAGGAGGCUCAUCUCCAGCUGCUGAUUGGAGGAGGAGCUGUGAACGCGGCUGGGCUGCUCAUGAUUGACAGAAAGCAGUCAGAGGCGGGACAUCAUGUUGUAAAUAAAAUGUGAACAUAAGUUUGCUACCCGUUUUCAUUUCCGUUCGAAAAUACAACCAAUGAUCAAAACAACAGUGUCUUGUGUUCCCGUUAGCCUAUAGUCUGGUAAGUUAGCAAAAUAGCUCAAGUCUCGUCAGCACCAAUAACUUCAUAAACAACAGGUCCCGACUGUCCAGCCUUUUCUGAUCUGAAACGCACCAAAUCACAUCGAGAGAGAGAAUAAAAGAGUUUGUGCCGCCUGGAAAACGAAAAUCCUGUCUAGCUAAGUGGCUUCAACUGUUGUUGCUUGAAAUGCUAAUUAAAAUUGCACUGUUAAUGAUCAUAAGCAUUCCGGCACAUAACUGUCAGUGACUGGCAAAAUUAACUCCCCUUCUUCCCUCUUUCUUUCUCUCUCACUUGUUGACUUCCCAGAGCUGAGUUUGGUUUGUUUGAGUGGAGUAGACUUCUUCAUCUUAUGUCAGUUUUCAGAUUCCACGACUAACUGACAAACUGCCUGGCUGCGGAGUCGGACCUUGAUGAGAACACUUCUCAGCUCUUGUGUAUCCCGCGGUGCUGAGCUGACUAUCGCGAGGCUGCCGGAUAUGAAAUGUUUCCAAUGUCGGAUAUUUCAGCUUCGUUUAAAAAUGAUUAUGUGGACUUUAUUUUUAGACAAACAAAUGUGAACAGGGGGAUGCAAGCUGAAUUUAGAAUUUUCCACCGAUCAAAGUCAGAACAAUUUUCAUCAUGUAUUAAUUUCACAUUUCUGAGUGAAAAAAAAAUACCGUGGGAAAAAAAUGCCGAGGACAUGAGCUCGGUGUCCUCAAUGGUAGUUACGGCCCUGGUCGUCACUGUCAUAUUUAUCAUUUCUAAAUUCUCCACACAUUCUCUAUUGGGGACAGAGGGGACACGCCCUCUUCUUCCACAGCCACGCCUUUGUAAUGUGAGCAGAAUGUGGUUUUGUGUUGUCUUGUUAAUCUCCCUGGAAAAGACGUCGUCCUGAAGGCAGCAGAUGUUGCUCCAAAAUCUCAGUGGACUUUUCCGCAUUAAUGCUCCAUCACAGAAGUAGCACACGGCGUCCAUUUCUUCCAAAAAAGACCUGAAACACUGAUUCGUCUGACCACAAUACCCGUUCCCACUGUGUGAUGGUCCAUCCCAGACGCCUCCGAGCCCAGAGAAGUCGACGGCGCUUCUGGACACCGUUAACAUAAGGCUUCCUUUUUGUACAGUAAAGUUGUAACUGGUGUUUGUGGCUGUAACUCUGUACUGUAACUUGAUAAAGGUUUUCCAGAGUGA